GAAAAGGAUUUAUUCGCUUCAGGAUGGACUCGCGUCCAAUUAGCUAGUUGGUGAGGUAACGGCCCACCAGGGCGACGAUUGGUAGCCGGACUGAGAGGUUGAACGGCCACAUUGGGACUGAGACACGGCCCAGACUCCUACGGGAGGCAGCAGUGGGGGAUAUUGCACAAUGGGGGAAACCCUGAUGCAGCGACGCCGCGUGGAGGAAGAAGGUUUUCGGAUUGUAAACUCCUGUCGUUAGGGACGAUAACGACGGUACCUAACAAGAAAGCACCGGCUAACUACGUGCCAGCAGCCGCGGUAAAACGUAGGGUGCAAGCGUUGUCCGGAAUUACUCGGUGUAAAGGGAGCGCAGGCGGACCGGCAAGUUGGAAGUGAAAACUAUGGGCUCAACCCAUAAAUUGCUUUCAAAACUGCUGGCCUUGAGUAGUGCAGAGGUAGGUGGAAUUCCCGGUGUAGCGGUGGAAUGCGUAGAUAUCGGGAGGAACACCAGUGGCGAAGGCGACCUACUGGGCACCAACUGACGCUGAGGCUCGAAAGCAUGGGUAGCAAACAGGAUUAGAUACCCUGGUAGUCCAUGCCGUAAACGAUGAUUACUAGGUGUUGGAGGAUUGACCCCUUCAGUGCC
Molecule: ribosomal RNA, 628 nt
Filed under: uncultured bacterium
Lineage: Bacteria
Description: bacterial SSU rRNA
Rfam family: Bacterial small subunit ribosomal RNA
Source: RNAcentral